Molecule: long non-coding RNA, 883 nt
Organism: Medicago truncatula (barrel medic)
Lineage: Eukaryota; Viridiplantae; Streptophyta; Magnoliopsida; Fabales; Fabaceae
Exons: 3
Source: RefSeq, a predicted model, not a curated record
AUAAGCCUUGGUGAAAAUCUCAACAAAAACUCUCUUUUCGAUUUAUGUCAGUUAUCUUCUCCAAUUCCCUUUCUACUUAAGCGAAUCACCAUUGUUGUUCUUUGAUCAUAUCCAAAUAACACAAAAGCCUAUUCAUUCUCAAACGGCGCAGAUGCAGAUCUGAAAUUUGGGUUAAAAACUUAAUUUCAGUUUUUCAUGAGUUUUUGAUCUAUCUCCAGCAACAAAGGUAGCACCGAUUAUUAUUAAAAGUUGUUCCCCAUGUAUUGGAAAAAUGGUGGAUUUUCAAUCUGAUUCGAAUUUUGAUGAAGAGGAUUCGACAGAGUUUGUCAUUGUCUAAGGAUGAUUCUGAUCGUGAAGAUGUUAUUAACGAGAAUGAAUAUGAAAUACCAGAGGAAACCAUUGAAGGCAGUAGAAAUGAUGAUGACAAGAGAUGUAGGUUCGACGAUUCUUAUGUUGUGAAUUGUUUGGAAGACAUUUCAAGUAUUAACUUCAAAGAAUUAAGUUCAGAAGAUGUUAAGAGAUACCAUUUUGUAGAUGUUGCUGUAGCAUUUACUUUUUAUAAUUGGUAUGCUAGCUGUCAUGGGUUUGCUGCAAGAAAAAGCAUGGUAAUGAGAUGCAAAAGUGGUGAACUAACUCAACAGACACUUGUUUGUUAUCGACAAGGGUUUAUAGAGGAAAAAAGUUGCAGCUCAUUAACUAGAAAGCGAGUACCGAAAGCUCGUGUGAGAUGUGGUUGUGAAGCAAAAUGUUGUGUUCACAUUGAUAUCAAUCCUCAUAAAGACAAAAUUAAAUUAAAGUACAUCUUUACAUCAAAAUAAAAUAAAAAUUGAAGUACACAUUUAAGCAUCAGAGUAAAACAAGGACCAUGUCAAUAAAGUUGAUU